This 200-nucleotide unclassified non-coding RNA is filed under the name uncultured fungus. RNAcentral's name for it is "sequence contains ITS1, 5.8S rRNA gene". The record is from RNAcentral. Lineage: Eukaryota; Fungi.
GUAUAUUUGUUUCAUAUCCCCCAUUCUACGACAAGUUGUUAAAUGUAACAUAGACCUUGGCCAUCAUUCCCUCAAAAAGGUCUACAAUAUGUGCACAGUUGGAAAAAUAAGGAGGACAAGCGUGCACAUGUCUUCCGACCAGCAACAGCCUGUUCAUAUUUAUUUCGAUAAUGAUCCUUCCGCAGGUUCACCUACGGAAA